RNAcentral lists this ribosomal RNA (424 nucleotides) under Candacia simplex. RNAcentral describes it as "eukaryotic LSU rRNA". It matches the Rfam family "Eukaryotic large subunit ribosomal RNA", at positions 331 to 666 of the family's 3401-position model. The record is from RNAcentral. Lineage: Eukaryota; Metazoa; Arthropoda; Copepoda; Calanoida; Candaciidae.
AUACCGAUAGCAAACAAGUACAGUGAUGGAAAUUUGAAAAGAACUUUGAAGAGAGAGUUAAGAGUACGUGAAACUGUAUGGUAGUAAACGCAGCCUUCCUCGAAGUUCUUCGUCGUGGAUCCAACCUAWGCCAAUCUGGUGCCUCUGUCUGUGCUGAGCAGCAAUGCCGGCUGGGUGGUGUGCUACUGGUGUCGGCGCGGGUGCAUCUUCACACGUUGUUACUGUAGGAACCGUUGGUGCUGGACCUAAGGCCCGGGAUGAAGUUCGGACUGCCUGUAGUGGGCGGACCGAGCUCCUGGUGUCCUGGCUUUGGCGCCGACGGGCAGUCAUGGCAGACUUGUAUAGCAAGCAACCUUGCUGUUGCAGUCGGCCAUUCCCUACAGAGUAGGUCGGCGGAGGCUGCGACCCGUCUUGAAACACGGAC